GUGAGUGAGAGCGCGUGGGUAGGACGGUCGCAACAACUGGGACAGUCGACACUGCAGCUCACUAUAACCACACCAAUCAUCGCUGUCGAAAGUUUGAGAGCAUUUGGAAAAACCCGCGACGACUGAAGUCCAUGAUAACCUUCUUACAGCGCUUAAUGAAAACCUGGAACUCCUACAACCAGGACUUACUGAACACGAGCCAUUCAGUAGAAAAGUAUGACUGAAACUCCCAAACCGCUGAUGGGCAAUGAGCUCGCGCAAGAGAACGGUCAAUCUGGGGAAGUCAGAGGGAGCUCAGAAGAACAAGAGAUGAAAGGCAUAACCCAAACACCCAAACAACCGAUGGGAAAAGCAACGGAUGGGAAGAACCCAGAAGAGCAAGAGGCUCUGGAAGUCACAGUGCAGUUCACAGCAGCACCUCAGUCUACUGAUUCUUUGUAUUAUACAAGUUACAAACAGAGGAGUGACGAGUUUCGCAAGUUAUUCAAAGAGGUUCCUGAGCAUGAGAAAUUGGUUGUAGACUACACCUGUGCGCUCCAGAAAGAUAUCCUGUUACAGGGACGCAUCUACUUCACAGAGAACUGCUUAUGUUUCUACAGUCAUGUGUUUCGUGGAACAAAAAUCAUGGUAAAUAUGAAGGAUAUCAUCUCAGUAUCCAAAGAGAAGACUGCAAAAUGGAUACCAAAUGCCAUUCAGAUCAGUACUAAUUCAGAAAAGCUCUUCUUUAGCUCCUUCUCAACAAGAGAGAAAAGUUACCAAAGUAUAUUUCGCCUUUGGCAGAAUGUUCUGAUGGAAAAGAAAUUGACUAAGUUGGAGCUGUUGCAGAUGGUUAGGCAACAUUAUGGCAACGACUUAGGAUUGAGUCAUGAUGAAAUGGAAAGUUUUCAAACAUCAGUAGAUACGAUCACGCCUACCCUUCCCAGUCUGAAUAUGCGCGGAGAGGAUUACACCGGGAGGCCAGAAAGGCCAACAUCUCUUCGUCUUCCUCACGGAGAGCUAAAUUCCUAUGAGGCCUCCACACCACAAGGAGACGACACACAGUCUUCAGUGGGUCUGCACAGUGUGCUCUCAGCAAACGGAGGGGAUGAUUCUCUCAGCACCCCAUCCCAUCAGCUCAGUCCAAAUCUGUCAUUAAACCGCUCUGGGUCUGAACGGGUGUCAAAACGUUCCUCUUUCUCUCUGGAUCUGAAUGCUAAUGAAGACCAGCUCUCUGACAACAGCAGAUCUGACAGUCUGGAAGAGGUGGAAGAACGUGAAACCGCAUCUCCGGUGUCUCAGGGAAGACUGUUUGUGAACCGGGUCUUUCACAUCAGCGCUGAGAAGAUGUUUAACUUGCUUUUCUCCGAUUCUAGUUUCACAAGGAGGUUUAUGGAUAUCAGGAAAAUCACAGGUAUAACCGCUACCCCUUGGAAAAAGGAGGCCUCUGGCUGUAUGAAACGAACUUUGAACUACACCAUCACCAUUAACAACCCUCUAGUUGGCAAGUUCUCCACUGCUACAGAGACCCAGACAUUAUAUAAAGAGUCAAGGGAGGGUCAGUACUACAUGAUAGAUUCAGAGGUCUACACCCAUGAUGUUCCUUAUCAUGACUACUUCUACACUCAGAAUCGCUACUGUAUCAUUCGUAACUCCAAGCACAAGUGCAGACUCAGGAUUUACACUGAUGUCAAAUACAAAAAGCAGCCUUGGGGUCUUGUUAAAUCCUUUAUCACCAAAAACUCCUGGAGUGGCCUAGAAGACUACUUUAGACACCUUGAGGCAGAGCUGCUAGAUGAAGAAGCAGAGUUGACUCAAGGAAGUGGAGAUGCUGGGAAGACGGGUGCUUUGCGCAGGAGAAGAAGAACGUAUAGUCGCACCUUGCAGGAACACAUGAAGCCGGCAAAAGCACAGUACAGCACAGACUCAGAACAGCAGAGGACUGGAACCAUGGAAUUAUAUUACAGGUCCAAUGGACAUCAAGAACACACCACACCGAUGGAACAUCACUUCAGUUGUGUUUGGAAUGAGCUUAAUACUUUUUGUUCUAGUGGUUCUGAACUUGGGGCUCUUCUUCAAACUUUGGGCCAUGGAAGAUGUUGCUCACCGCAUGUAUCUCAACACUAAGCACAGAAUGAAGGAGAGGGUAGAGUCCAGUUUGCCACCUGACCUAGGGCCCAGACACGGUAUGCCUCAUAGAAGUCAGGAGGAAGUUCAUUUACUGAGAGCGGUGCUGCAGGACUCCAUUAACCUUCUUGAGCAGCUCCGCAGUUCACUACUAGUGCUUCAGCAGAACUUUCAGGUGUACAACAGAACCUCCUCUCCACUGUAAAUGGUUUUGAGUUUGGUGACCCGACAGCACAAGGGUAUUCAUCCCAUAAGACCUGCCCGCUUCUGAGGACUGUUGCCAUAGGGGCACUGCCACCCCAGGGCAGAAUCGUAGCUUGGUUCAUCGUCUCUUAGGCCAGGUUUGUUGCCGUUGGACGUUUUUUUAUUUUGAAGCUUGAUUUCGUCCCAGAGGAGAUGUUCACAUUUAAAGACUGAAGAUGAAAGAGAAUUUGUGAACUUAAAGCUGAAGGAGAAGAGUGGCUGUCUUUUUCUCGUUCUUCACAGUUGAUGUUGCUGCAGUGAAAGCAACAGUGAUGUAGCAGGUUGCGAAACACAAUAAUCUCUGGGAUGCUGAACUACAACCAAGCCAGAUAAAACAAAAGAAACCAAAAAAAGUCUUGGACUUAAGGGGUUUGGUGUGGCUGCAAAGGGUAUCUGAUGAUUGAGCUGGCAAUGCAGGCCCGUUGCCUUUGGUUCAUGUUAAAGGUCUGCCUAACAUUUGCUCUUGUGGUCUUUUUUUUCUUGAUUUAGACCGUUGUUGUCUUAAGAUACAUCUAAGAAUUUAUUAAAGCAGGGAUCAACACUGACAAAUGAUUGUGAAAUUUGUAUAUUUGUAGAUUUUUGGAUACACAUCCGGUUUUUAAUAUUGUGUAAAGGUACAGCUUUAUGUGGAGAAGAUAAAGAACUGGAGGUUUAAUGUAAAUGGAGUGGUGAUGCUUUAUGUACCUAGAAAUGGUUUACACCUUUUGGUUGUUGAGCUUUUAGAUACUAUAUUGUAACUACUGUGAAAUAAACUUGUGAAUUCUGUACAAUGGACAAAGUAAACGUUAAUUUAUUAAAAGACGAUGUGUAAUUUUCAAGCAUUUAUAUAUGCUUUUUGUUUUGGAUUAUUGGCCCGUUUUCAUCAGAAUUUUUAAAAAAUUUCUUCUGAAACUAUUUAUAAAUAAAAAUCUCAUCACAUUA
Molecule: non-coding RNA, 3267 nt
Organism: Danio rerio (zebrafish)
Lineage: Eukaryota; Metazoa; Chordata; Actinopteri; Cypriniformes; Danionidae
Source: RefSeq, a predicted model, not a curated record